GUGCUCACUUCAGCAACACAUAUACUAAAAUUGGAACGAUAUAGGGAGGAUUAGUGUGGCCCCUGAAUAAGGAUUACAUGCAAAUUUGUGAAGUAAUCCAUUAAAAA
RNAcentral lists this small nuclear RNA (107 nucleotides) under Castor canadensis (American beaver). The record is from RNAcentral. Lineage: Eukaryota; Metazoa; Chordata; Mammalia; Rodentia; Castoridae.